Lytechinus pictus (painted urchin) is the source of this 3628-nucleotide long non-coding RNA. RefSeq lists it as uncharacterized. Lineage: Eukaryota; Metazoa; Echinodermata; Echinoidea; Temnopleuroida; Toxopneustidae. The transcript is spliced from 2 exons. The record is from RefSeq and is a predicted model, not a curated record.
AGCACUGAAGAUACAUAUCAGCGAAUCGACCGCUGUACAACUAGAGGAACACUUUAGAGGGACAUUCAAGGUUGAUGAACGAGGAAACAUAUCAAUAAAGGGUAAAGGAUCGAUGAAGACAUUCUGGCUAGUGGAUCGCAUCCCUCCAUUCACACCGCGUAGAGCGCACGUAGGAUGGGAAUAUGACACCUCACCAUCCUAUCAUGGUCGUUCUAUUACCCCAUCUGGACGAAGUACACCAACAACACCCAUACACCAACCAGCUAGCACCCAAGGUAGGUCCUGGGAAACACCCAUCACGGAUUUACCCAUCAUCAUUAAAAAUGCUCUCACUUCUCCAGUACAAGGUGGAACGUCGCAUCCACUGUCAUCUAGCCUUGGGAAGUCCAGAUCCUAUCCCGUUACGCCCAAGAAAUCUCGCAAGACACCGAGUAAUCCAGUCACUCCAAGUAGAGCGUUAAAGUAUAACCCUGUAAUCUUAUGUACCGAAGCACCUUCCAAUGAUUGAGUGUCACAGUCGGUGCUGAUAUUGAUUACCAGCCUUUUGCGCCUUAUCAUGGUUUUUAACACUCCACCAUAAUAAAUACUGCCAUUGAUAUUAUUCAUCAGUAUCACCAUCAUCAUCAUCGUCAUCAUCAUCGUCAUCAUCAUCAUCACUAUUGUCAUCAUCUUCAUCAUCGUCGUCGUCAUCAUCAUCAUCAUCACCAUCAUCAUCAUCACCAUCAUCAUCAUCAUUACUGUUAUUAUAUUCAUCAGCGUUAUCAUCCUCACAAACAUCAAUCAGCGAUGAAAAUGAAAUUGAUAUACAUGUCACUUUGUUUUUAUGGCACAUAUAUAAUGUAGACGCUGGUUUACCGUCCGUUUUGGUUUCGUAACUCUUGUCUUUGGGUUUCGGCCGUGAAGUCUCCGAACUAGGCCAGUUUGGCGAAAGGGCUUGCCCUGGUAUGGACAAGAUUCUAAGCAAUGAUGAUCAUUAAUUUUUUUCACAUAUGAAAAUAUUUCGAGUAAUAUACCUAAUAUCGAGAUAAAUUUGGUUUAAAAUUUUCACAUUUAUCCAGCGUUAGAGCAUGUUUUCCUUACGAUCAUAUAGUACCACAAUCCUCUAUCUAUUUACUUUUUUAAGUUAUACUUUCAAUGUAUUUUACGACCUUGAUUGAUUUUCAUUUUCGUCACAUAGAGUGUUAUGUUAGAGUAAUGGCUCCUUUUUCCAUUUAUAAAAAUAUCCGUCUCAUUUUACGGGGUGAUCUAAAUGUACCCCAUGUUUACUUUCCCUUCUUUUUAUUUUGUUUAUGUUGAGUCAUCAGGAAGAAAUUUUCCUUCACUUUCAUAAACAUUAUGAAUAACCAAUCUGUAGACCCGUUGUCUUCUCCUUAUGCCUCGUUCAUCUUCUGCUUAACCCACCUGUGUACAUUUGGGGGGGGGGGGGGGUUGGGGCAUGUCUCCCCACCCCAAAGUUUCACGACCAAGAAAUUAAAAGGAAAGGGAAAGAGUGAAGUGACAAAUUAGUAUUUUCUGGAUAUUGAGUCAAAAUCUAUCAAACAAAAAAUAUUUUUGUUUCAAAAUGGUCAAAAUUUUUGCUCCAUUCGUCUUAUUUGCCCCCUCACAAUUUUUGGCUCAUAACGCCACUGACAUGGAAUGUGAAUUGAACUCGAAAAUCAAUCAAAAUUAAUUUCGUUUCUUGCAUGUUAUUUCAUAAAUUCAAUUCCAAUAUUCAUUAAGAUUUCCCUAUACAGACACACGGUAGAUUGGAUCCAGCGCCUCUUUUUUUUGGUCAUUCAUUGAAAUUGGCAGAGACAAUGGUCGGUUUCCAUCGAUCAAUGUAAAUCACAUGGCUCUAACUGUUGGUUUCAUCAAGGAGGUUUCAAAUCUUCUUGGCUUCAUUGAGCACAUAUUUCUGCACUACUCUCUCUCUCUCUCUUUCCGGACUCUGAAUUUGACUUUUUUUUAAUUUGAAAAAUUCUGUUUUUUCAUUCCUUUAUUAAAUACUUGAAACCAUCGCAAUGAACUCAUAAUUCCGCGUAACCACUUCCUGAAUUUAUAUUCAAACAUAAUGACCACGAAACUGUUUGGAAAGUGUUCGUGUGUGUGGGGGGGGGGGGGGGUAAGCUGACCAUGCAAAAGAAUUCCCCGUAUAGAUAGCCAUCGUAACAUUCGAUACACGUUUGUUUAAAAAGUGGGGGAGCUGAAUACAAUUAAUACCAUACAAGAUACGUUUAUGCGCUGAAGCCCCCUUGCCCCCCCUCCCCGUUCCGAAACCACUGAAGCAUUUUAAAUGGCGAUAUUUUUGAGGUACAAUACCGACAUGAAAAAUAUAAGUCUUCCAAGACAAAGAGUAAGUUUACUGCAAUUAAGGCUUUGUUACUGACGACAAUCAACUUUAAUGUACGCUGAAAAAUAUUAUGCGAGAACCUAAACUUGGAAAUGAAAAUAACGUUAUUUAGUUAUUCGUUCGGAUAUAUAAGAACUUGCAGACACAUCUUGUGAUUUUAGCGAAAUAAUUGAUGUGACCUAUGAAUAUGGAAAGCUUGAUCUAUAAUUUAGCAUACGAAGUUAAGUAGUUCUUUGAGUUCCAGUGUGCCGCCGAAGCGAAAGCAACUUCAAAGAAUUUGCCGCCAAUUGUUGAUAUGGGUUUUGAUUGAGUAUUAAAGUACAAUACCUUAAUACCCGAGGGGGCUGUUGGAUAAGAAUAUAUUGAUGACGGUUUUAUUUUAUAAUAUAUAUUUAAAAAAAAACAUGCCAUGCAGAUCACACUAAAUACUUGAUAAGGAGUUUCAUCAUAGAGCUAUGGUUUCAUAUUAUAUUCUACUGUCAUCCAUAAUAAAUUGUAAAUUGUGUUUUACUUCAUUUUCAAUUAUCUACAGUGUUGAAAUUUCUAGUUGUCAUGACAACCUUAAAUCGACUGUAACGUCACUGCAGAUUUGUACGUUUCCCAUUUUAUGAAAUAUGUUUCUAUCUCUUGAAGUUUUGUAAAGUUAAUGGCUAUACCUAGGUCCUAGGAGGGGAUCCAAGUUCGUGGCUUUACUUAUGCUUACAAAAAACACGUUUUAAAUGUAUAAUUCAUCAAAGUACUUGCAGUAAGGGCGCUAAUCAAUCGUACCGGGGGAGGGGGGGGGGGGGGGGGGGUCUGACUCAGAUGCUUAUUCGAUGUCAACACUCUAUUGCAGGGAUUUAAAAUAAAUCCAGGUUGAUUGUAGUUAAGGACAAAUCGCAUUUGGAAUUUACUUUUAAUCCUAAAAUUUAUUUUUGAAUCUCAAGGGAUUUUAAUUUUAAUCCUUUGAGAUUUAAAAAAAAAAAAACAUUUUUUUUAUAAUAAUGAAGUUUUGUUAAGUUAUUGCCUAUACCUAGGAGGGGAUCCGAUUUCGUGGGUAUAUAUACUUUUGCUUACAAAAACACCAUAAAAAUGUAUAAUUCAUCAAUUCUGAAGAAUAUUUAGGAUAUUUUUAAAUCCCAAAUUCGAUUGGUUCCUAUAUACAGUCCACCUGGAUUUGUUCUAAAUCCUUGUAAUUUAGUGUGAACAUAUGGCAUUAACACACAGUCCAUAUUAGACCAACACACAUGCUCUUAUCAGUGGCGUACCUGGGAUUUUUCACAGGGGGGGGCAAAAUCGUCCGCCAAAAAAUUUGACAAG